CACAGAGAGACAGAGGCAGAGACCCAGGCAGAAGGAGAAGCAAGCCCAAUGUGGGACUCCAUCCUGGAUCCCGGAAUCACGACCCGAGCAGAAAGGCAGGCACCUAACCACUGAGCCACCCAAGUGUCCUGGUAUUUGUAACUUUAAUUAUUUGAGAAAACCCCAUACUGUUUUCUAUAGUGGUUGCGUCAAUUUACAUUUCUAUCAAUAGUGCACAAGGGUUCUCUUUUCUCCACAUCCUUGCCAGCACUUGUUAUUUCUUAUCUUUUUUUAUAAUAGACAUUCUGACAGAUAUGAGGUGAUAUUUCAUUUUUCAAAGAAGACAUAACAGAUGGCCAAACGAUACUUGAAGAGAAAAAGCCAAAUGAAAUUUAGAGAAGUUCUAAUUGCUAAUAAAGGAAUGCCAUCUGACAAUUACAGCCAGAAGUAGCCGUAUGUCUCCAACCACAGGAAAUCAAAGGAGGCUUCAUGCAUUUCUGGUGGACGUGAAGACAGCUGUAUUCAUUUUGCAGAAAAACAUGACAAUACCUAGUCAAGAAUUGGAUCUUUCUGCUCACCUUGGGACCAUCGUCACCAUGAAGACAGAGAUUCCAGUCUUGUCCAGCUUCUCUUGAACUUGGUGUGGAAAGGAUCACUGGCCUGAAAUAUAUCUCUUUGAUAG
This 661-nucleotide long non-coding RNA is filed under the name Canis lupus familiaris (dog). Its description in RNAcentral is "lncRNA (ENSCAFG00000056485.1)". Lineage: Eukaryota; Metazoa; Chordata; Mammalia; Carnivora; Canidae. The record is from RNAcentral.